Molecule: ribosomal RNA, 515 nt
Filed under: uncultured bacterium
Lineage: Bacteria
Description: partial 16S ribosomal RNA
Rfam family: Bacterial small subunit ribosomal RNA
Source: RNAcentral
AUUGAACGCUGGAGGCGUGCUUAACACAUGCAAGUCGUGCGAGAAAGGGACUUCGGUCCUGAGUAGAGCGGCGCACGGGUGAGUAACGCGUGGGUAAUCUCCCUUGGUGAUCGGGAUAACAGCGGGAAACUGCUGCUCAUACCGGAUAAUCUUCAUGUUUAACUUCAUGGGGUAAAGGUGGCCUCUGCUUGCAAGCUACCACACCGAGAUGAGCCCGCGUCUCAUUAGCUAGUUGGUAGGGUAAUGGCCUACCAAGGCUACGAUGAGUAGCUGGUCUGAGAGGAGGACCAGCCACACUGGGACUGGAACACGGCCCAGACUCCUACGGGAGGCAGCAGUGGGGAAUAUUGCGCAAUGGGCGAAAGCCUGACGCAGCGACGCCUCGUGAGGGAUGAAGGUCUUCGGAUCGUAAACCUCUGUCAAGAGGGAAGAAACCCUUGGAUUCGAAUAGGGUCCUUGGCUGACGGUACCUCAAAAGGAAGCACCGGCUAACUCCGUGCCAGCAGCCGCUGUAA